Non-coding RNA from Homo sapiens (human), 551 nucleotides. Lineage: Eukaryota; Metazoa; Chordata; Mammalia; Primates; Hominidae. The record is from the annotation of a RefSeq genome assembly.
UUUCCUUAAAUUCAGGGUCCAGCUCACAUGGGAAAUACUUUCUGAGACUCAUGGACCUCCUGCACAAGAACAUGAAACACCUGUGGUUCUUUCUCCUCCUGGUGGCAGCUCCCAGAUGGGUCCUGUCCCAGGUGCAGCUGCAGGAGUCGGGCCCAGGACUGGUGAAGCCUUCGGAGACCCUGUCCCUCACCUGCGUUGUCUCUGGUGGCUCCAUCAGCAGUAGUAACUGGUGGAGCUGGGUCCGCCAGCCCCCAGGGAAGGGGCUGGAGUGGAUUGGGGAAAUCUAUCAUAGUGGGAGCCCCAACUACAACCCAUCCCUCAAGAGUCGAGUCACCAUAUCAGUAGACAAGUCCAAGAACCAGUUCUCCCUGAAGCUGAGCUCUGUGACCGCCGCUGGGAGAUGCCCAUCAAGAGUCCCAAGGGUUCUGCCCCCUUCCUUGAUGUGCCUCUGGGAGUGGGGCUGGCUGGGCUGUGGGUCUGCUGUGACCCUCUCCACAGGUCAGCAGUUCAGUGCAGGCUGCACCAACUCGGUGGGGCUGGGCUGUGGCUGA